GUCUAUAGCCAUGACACCCUGAAUGUGCCUGAUCUCAUCUGAUCUCGAAAGCUAAGUAGGGUCAGGCCUGGUUAGUACUUGGAUGGGAGACCACCUAGGAAUACCAGGUGCCAUAAGAG
Molecule: ribosomal RNA, 119 nt
Filed under: Pteropus alecto (black flying fox)
Lineage: Eukaryota; Metazoa; Chordata; Mammalia; Chiroptera; Pteropodidae
Source: RNAcentral